GGGAGUGGAUCGGGGCUGGUGUCCUGCCUGGUCUUCAAAACCAGCGGGGGUUGUCCCAGUGACGGCCCCGGUGGGUUCGAUUCCCAUGCGCUCCCGCCA
This 99-nucleotide transfer RNA is filed under the name Planctomycetota bacterium. RNAcentral describes it as "tRNA-Sec". It matches the Rfam family "Selenocysteine transfer RNA". Lineage: Bacteria; Pseudomonadati; Planctomycetota. The record is from RNAcentral.